ACACGGCAGGGGGGAUGGAUAAGGAC
Molecule: small RNA, 26 nt
Filed under: Bombyx mori (domestic silkworm)
Lineage: Eukaryota; Metazoa; Arthropoda; Insecta; Lepidoptera; Bombycidae
Description: ovarian small RNA-11041
Source: RNAcentral